UUGGUUUGUGAAACCCAUAUUCCUGGGAAGACAGUUUCAGGUACAUUUAGCUACCUGAUGGGCCGUUUAAACAUUUAUAGAAGUAUCUCAUUGAAUUGUGAUUUUCAAUGCAUAUUUUCUGGUCGUAUAAAAGUUUUCCCAUGGGGCUGAUGUUAUGACAGUAGAUCAUUAUGCCACGGUGUAUUUUCCCCAGGUAAAGAAAGCUUUUGAUGAUUCACUGACUGAGGACUCACAAUCCAGAACCUGAAGAUUGGAUCUUCUGAGAACAUAUGAGAAAGACUGCCCUUGCCAUCCACACUGCAGCAAGACUUUAAGACCUUGAACCUUGGGUUCAUAAUCUUACAAUCCCUGAGAAGGCUCUCUCCACACUCUUGAAACUUCAAAAUUUCCUUAAGGCCUCUGAGCCCAAGCUAAGCAAUCAUAUCCCCUGUGACCUGCAUGAAUACAUCCAGAUGGCCUGAAGCAACUGAAGAAUCACAAAAGAAGUGAAAAAACCACCAAACAGAGAUGAAGUCUUGUCCAGGCUAAAAUGCAGCAGCUAUUCACAGGCACAACAAUGGCGAACUACAGCCUUGAACUCCUGUCUCAGCCUCCAAAGUAGCUGGGACUACAGGUAUGUGACACCACCCCUGGCCCAUGCAUAUGGUUUUUGCUUGUUGUUUGCUCUCUUUGUUUUGUAUAUGCUAGUUUUCAAUUCACUUCGGUAAAUACUCACAAAUGGUAUUACUGGGUCUUAUGUUAAGUGUAUACAGUGUAUUUUUAACUCUGUAAGAAACUGCUAAACUAUCUUUCAAGGUGUUUAUACUCUUGCACUUCCAAUAGCAACGAAUAAGAAUUCUUCUAAAAGCUUUAUAGUGUUAUGUUUACAUUUAAAUGUCUGAAUCAUUUUUGUGUGAACUUUUGUAUAAAGUGUUAGGUUUAAGUUGUUUUGUUUCUUUUUUUUUUUUUUUUUGGAUAUGAAGGACCAAUUGUUCUGAUACCGUUUGUUGAAAAGAUUAUCCUCUUUGCAGUAAAUUGCUUUCAAACCUUUUUAAAAGAUCAAAUAUCCAUAUUUGCAUAGGUCUAUAUUUGGACUUUCUAUUAUUCUAUUCAUCUAUGUGUGUCUACAUUGACACAAAUUCCAUACUACCUUGACUAUUGUAGCUUGAUAAUAAAUCUUAAAAUUAAGUAGAAUGAUUUCUCUAACUUUGAUCUUCUGUUUCAAAAUUGUUUUAGCUAUUCUAGUUCCUUAGCCCUACUGUACACAUUUUAGAAUAAUCCAAAUUAUUCUAGAAAAAUUCAAAAAUUCUAGUUGGUAUUUUGAUUGUUGUUAUGUUAAAUCUAGAGAUCACUUUGGAAAAAACUGAUGUUUUUAAUAGAUUGAGUCUCCAAUCAUGAACAUGAUAUAUCUCUUCAUUUAUUUAGUUCUUUAAUUCUGUCAUCAGAGUUCUACAGUUUGUAGCUUACAAGUUUUAGUCCUGUACUUGUUUUGUUAGACCUAUACCUAAGUAUUUCAUUUUUGGAGGAAUGAUUGCAAAUGGUUUUUGAGGUUUACAAAAUUUUGAUUUCCAUUUGUUUAUUGCUUAUAUAGAGAAAGACAACUUUUUGUGUGUAUUGUACUUGUAUCGUGCAGCUCCGAUAAGCUCACUUAUUACCUUUAGAAGAUUUUUUUUUUUUUGGUAGAUUCUUUGG
Molecule: long non-coding RNA, 1671 nt
Filed under: Papio anubis (olive baboon)
Lineage: Eukaryota; Metazoa; Chordata; Mammalia; Primates; Cercopithecidae
Description: lncRNA (ENSPANG00000042128.1)
Source: RNAcentral